Ostrea edulis (European flat oyster) is the source of this 1536-nucleotide RNA transcript. RefSeq lists it as uncharacterized. Lineage: Eukaryota; Metazoa; Mollusca; Bivalvia; Ostreida; Ostreidae. The transcript is spliced from 7 exons. The record is from RefSeq and is a predicted model, not a curated record.
ACAUGACUCCUGUUUCAGCGUUAGAGUUUGUGAUCAUCAUAGCCAUCUUGUGUAGCGGUACCACUGCGCGUCUUGUCAGGGGAGAUAAUCAGACGUCAUUACCAGAGGGUGAGGAGGAAAAUAGACCAUGUUUUAAGAUGUACGAGGGCUGCAUGGCUGGAUUCAGUAUAAAACCAUCCACCAACGCCGAUGGGAGUUUGCAUUUCCCGGGCGACUUCUUCGGAACAGUCUGUGACUAUUUCAUCACCGGCGGUAUUUGUUAUGGACUCACAACGUACGAAGUUUGCGAGCCAAGUUUUCAACCAAUCAAUGUUAUCAGAAAUUUUAAUAAUAUAUCCAUCAAACUGUGCCGCAAUACGGAAGCUUUGGACUCUCUUGUUCCCUGCUUGAAUGAUAAAGAAUUCCCUAAAGCAUACAUGAGCGUGAUCGAUUAUGUGGGCUCUGGAAAAGAAAGCCGUUGCAAAAGAUGGGGGACAACGUCAUGAUGUCUACGAGAGAAAAAGGCAAUAUGAUUAAAAUCAGAUCCACUGACGCAGAUCUACGUGAGCGGAUCAAAAGAUCUGAUUUUAGUCACUUUAAGGAAACGGUUGAUUAAGAUUAUAUUUUCAUGUUGCAGCAGUUAAAAUGCUGAUAAAAAUAGUCAGGCUAAUAUUUUGUACACAAAUUAUGAUUGUAAACCUAAAGGAAAGAGAAAUACGACAUAUAUGUUCUUGAGAUCAAUUGAUAAUUUUUACUUCUGUAAUUUCUACUAUAUGCCGACCAAAUGAAUGGCAUUUGGAGUAUGCAGUACAUUUCAACACAACCAUGCACGAUGCAAUUUUCAGGAAACAUAAUUUUAUGGCAUUUACUUUCCAUUAACUUGAAACAUGAAGUUUAGCAACUUAAAAUGUUCAUUAGACUUGAAACAUGAAUAUUGAUUAAAUUGUAUCUUUAAUAAACUUGAUAUUUAACAUUGAAUUAUGUGUGAUUUUAUCUGCAAAUUUAAUUGAGCAUUAAAUUCCAGUGAUAUUUGCAACGUCUUAUAUAACAUACACUUAAUCAAAUGUAAUUUUAUCAAAUACAUUUUUCAUUCAGUGACAUGUUCUCAGACGUUCUAUACUUAUAUGACGCAGAACGUGAAUGUAUUGGAUUAUAAAACGCUCUUCAACUCAGAUGUGAGUGUGCAAACAACUUCACACGGACAUGCGGCCCUGAAUAUCCCUGUUCCCUGCUUGAAUGAUAUAAAAUUCUAUGAAGAAUACCAGCGCGCAGUCCAAUAUAUGGGCCGUGGAAAGGAGAGUCGUUGCAAUGCGGUCAACGAAGUCAUACGCCGGAUUUUGCGACUCUUCAAAGAAAGAUGUGGUGCACCUGAGUAUACCACUUUGAAAACAGUGAUGGAGGACGUUGGUGGAGAUAUACUUCCGGCAUCUGUCGGUCAAAGCUGCAGUAUGGACAUCAACACUCUUUACUCUGACAGACGUAGGCGGGGCGUGGCCAGUGCGACUCUCACGAGAAUGAUGGAUUUAUGGAUUUAAUAAAAUUAUGGUACCAAACAGC